This 586-nucleotide long non-coding RNA is filed under the name Lonchura striata (white-rumped munia). RNAcentral's name for it is "domestica (Bengalese finch) lncRNA (ENSLSDG00000013444.1)". The record is from RNAcentral. Lineage: Eukaryota; Metazoa; Chordata; Aves; Passeriformes; Estrildidae.
GCCCUCCCGGGCCGCGGCCGAGCGGCCUCGGAGCAGGGCUGCGCUCCUUUCCCGGCACCGCGCCCCUCUCCAGACGCCGGGAGCGGCCGCGUGCCGGAAAAUGCCGCCGGGGCGGCGGGGCGGAGCCCUGGCUCUGCCCGCCCCUGCUGCCGCCCUCCUUGGAAGGUCAAGGGAGCCGCCCCGUCCCGCCGCGUCCCUGGCUCGUCCCGCCGCCUCCCCGUGCUUUUCCGCCGUCUCCACUCUCGCACAAGCCCCCCGCCUCCGGGCCCCGCUCCGGUGCAGGGAAAUGCAGGAGAACACGGAAGCAUCGGGGCAGAACCGGCGCUGGAGGUGCCCGAGCCGUCUCCCGGCCCGCAGGAGCAGAGGUGCCCGCCGCCGUGAGCUGACAGGUCCAUGCUGGAGAUUGGGAGAAGGGUCCCUGCUGGUUGCUGUGUCCUCGGUGGGCAGAGAGAUCUGACCUUGGCCAGAUGGGCUGUUGCAGUAUCUCUUGGGUGCUGUGCAGAACGGAAUCAGGCAGCCAAGCCUCAGGUUUCCCUUCUCCCUGACCCUCUACGCUGCUGGUGUGGCACAGCAGAUCCUGAAGCAG